Long non-coding RNA from Zalophus californianus (California sea lion), 628 nucleotides. RefSeq lists it as uncharacterized. Lineage: Eukaryota; Metazoa; Chordata; Mammalia; Carnivora; Otariidae. The transcript has 5 exons. The record is from RefSeq and is a predicted model, not a curated record.
AGUGGAGGAUGUCAUAGAGGGAUGAACCCUUUGUGGGCUCACAAACGGAUCGGGCAGAUGAACGCGUCAGGCAGCCUGGACAGUUUUUUUGUCUCCUCCUCCAAGUACCCUUACCAGGAGUCUCCUGAUUCGGCCCUGUGGGGGCUUUGCCACACCUGGGAUCUGGGACCGAUAACUCUACAAUUUCCAGAAAUGGCUUCUUUGGUUAUUUGUAUUUAAUGAACAUGUCAGCUUGCAAGAUUAAUCAUGGAAAUUUUGAUUUAGAAGAGACCCUUUGUCUGGAGUACAUUUGCCCCCAGAUAUCUUCUUGGCUUGUUUCCUAUCAGAAUGGAUUUUUUUCUUUUCCCGUCUUUUGGAAGAGCUGUUCAAAAUGGUGUACUUGAGGCUGGACAAGAAUGACCGUAUAAACUGGUCUCAGAAGACAUUUUGGAUCAACUGGAAAAGACUUCACUUCAGCAGAUCACAGUCCUCUUCUGAAGUCUCAGAGGUAGUCCCAGAAGGACUGUUGGGAACACAACAAGAUGUCCGCUGUGUGUGGGGAGGGGUGUGAAAAAUCACCCCGGUCGAGUCCCACUGCUCCAGGUGCUGUUGAAAGCUGAGGUUAUCACUGUCCACGCAAGAUAGAAAG